AUGGGGUCGUCCGGUUGCAGCUCUGAGAUAGUUGAGUCCAACGAAGACUUGGAUAAUGCGCCUGUUAGUGGCUCCAGCGUGCUGCAUAUCAAUGUGAAAACUGAGGAGAAAGAUGGAAGACGUCGUGGUCAUCCUGUGGAAGAUGAGCUCGACCAGCUUCUUAAGGCAAUUGAUAGCAGGACUUACCGUCGAGCACUUAGCCCCGGCCAGGCCGGGGCAGAUUCUUUGUCGAAGCAUGCUCAAAAGACACCUAGGUCAGGGUCAUCUCAAAUUGCAGUCACUGGGAUAUGCUCCAAACCUGUCAAUAUGAAGCAGGCACUGAGAAGGCAUUGCAUUUCCCAGGCGUCAGAAAUGGCUGCAAUGAAGAGGUUGUCGAUGUCGCCUGGGUCAUCGAGUUCAUCUGAAGCAGGGACUAUCCACAGGCUUUAUGCCUCCUUGAUGGUUCAGAGUAGUGAUGGAAGCGUUGUGCAUGAUGAUAAAAAGAACUUGAUUGAGAUAUCAAUCACUCCAGAAAAGAUUAGUAAGAAUCUAUCUAGAGGAACAAGUGGCUUUAGUGAAGACUGUGAUUUUGAGACAGCUGAUGGAAGUGCAGUCACCUCCAUCCAUUCUGCAUCUUCUACCUCAACUGAUAUACAAAAGGUCAGGAUCCAAGAUGUCAUCAGUGGUGACCCUGUAGAAAGUGAGAGCUCCAUUGUGCAAAAUGGAAAAACGCAUAAACAAGUUUCUGCGACUACUGAUGAUAGUCCAUCCAGAAUCCCCAUAUUGAUCAAACCCAUCACAACAUCCCGGCUCGUGAAGCCAGUUUUUCGAUGCAAAACCAGCAGUAAGAGUAAAAUGAAAGAAGAACAACCUUCACUUGGUAAUUCCUCCAAUAGUACUAAAUUCUGCUCUUCAAAGGAAUCCAUUUCCCAUGUAUCAACCAGCUCCUCUUCGGCGUCCAGCAUUAGUAAUCCCACCAGCUGUGCAGAAGGGGAGAUAAAUCCAGGACCAGAAAAAUCUGAUGAGAGGUCGUCUGAAUGGUUAACAUUGGAAAAAGGUGAGUGCUCCCAGAAUUCGAAGAGCAGCAUUAGUGAGUAUGGAUGUAGCACUAGUAUCAGCGAUGAGAGCCAAUUUGGCUUAUGUGGCUAUAACAACAGGCCCCAUAUGGUGAAGGAUCUCUGUUGGAUAACCAUUCGCCAGUUGGCGUUGCAACAGGGACCCUUAGGACUCGACAACUUUAGGCUUCUGAAGAGGCUUGGAUGUGGGGAUAUCGGGACUGUGUAUCUUGCAGAAUUGGUUGAUUCAGAUUGCUUGUUUGCUUUGAAGGUUAUGGAUAUCGAGUACCUGAUUAGUAGGAAAAAGAUGCUACGAGCACAGGCUGAGAGAGAGAUACUAGAAAUGCUGGAUCAUCCUUUUCUUCCUACUCUUUAUGCCCAUUUUACGACAGACAAUCUCUCAUGCUUAGUCAUGGAGUACUGUCCGGGUGGUGAUCUGCACGUUCUUCGUCAAAGACAACCCGGUAGAAGCUUCCCAGAGCCAUCUGCGAGGUUUUAUGUUGCAGAAGUUCUCCUUGCGCUGGAAUAUCUUCACAUGCUGGGAGUCAUAUACCGUGAUCUUAAGCCAGAGAAUAUCCUGGUCCGCGAUGAUGGUCACAUCAUGCUAUCAGAUUUUGAUCUCUCGCUAAGGUGCUCUGUUAGCGCCGUGCUCCUCCGGUCAUCCUCGGUAGCAGCGAAUCACCAACCAAAGAAGCUUACAAGCCCUUGUGCAGAGAGCUACUGCAUCAACUCGUCGUGCCUCCAGCCCUCUUGUGCCCAAACGUCUUGUUUCAGGCCACGCCCCUGGGUACCGAAGCCUAGGAAGCCUAAAUCUUCCCUGAAGAGGCUGCCUCAACUUGUUGUAGAGCCUACAGAAGCACGCUCCAAUUCCUUUGUUGGCACACAUGAGUAUCUUGCACCAGAAAUCAUCAAAGGGGAUGGUCACGGGAGUGCUGUUGACUGGUGGACGUUUGGUGUGUUCCUUUAUGAACUUUUGUAUGGUAGGACACCCUUCAGAGGUCCUGGGAAUGAUGAAACAUUGGCAAAUGUUGUUUCCCAGAAUCUCCGGUUCCCGGAUAACCCGGUUGUCAGCAGCAAUGCAAAGGAUCUCAUCAGAGGAUUGCUAGUCAAGGAGCCGGAGAACAGGCUGGGAACGUUGAGAGGAGCAGCUGAAAUCAAGCAGCACCCUUUCUUUGAAGGGUUGAACUGGGCCUUGAUACGAUCUGCUGCCCCACCAGAGACACGGCCUUGCGAUGUCGUGACUCUUGCGACGGUGCGGAAGAAGAAAGAAGGCAAAUGCCUGGACUUUAGGAGCGCCGAGGAGCUGGAGUUUGAAGUUUUCUAG
This 2358-nucleotide ribosomal RNA is filed under the name Triticum aestivum (bread wheat). RNAcentral describes it as "partial small subunit ribosomal RNA". Lineage: Eukaryota; Viridiplantae; Streptophyta; Magnoliopsida; Poales; Poaceae. The record is from RNAcentral.